This 324-nucleotide ribosomal RNA is filed under the name uncultured eukaryote. RNAcentral describes it as "partial 18S ribosomal RNA". It matches the Rfam family "Eukaryotic small subunit ribosomal RNA", at positions 1470 to 1796 of the family's 1831-position model. The record is from RNAcentral.
CCCUUAGAUGUUCUGGGUCGCACGCGCGCUACACUGAUGCAUUCAACGAGUUUCUUCCUGGUCCGAGAGGAAUGGGUAACCUUUUGAAAGUGCAUCGUGAUAGGGAUAGACUAUUGCAAUUAUUGGUCUUCAACGAGGAAUUCCUAGUAGACGUAGUUCAUCAGACUGCAUCGAUUACGUCCCUGCCCUUUGUACACACCGCCCGUCGCUCCUACCGAUUGAAUGCUCAGGUGAGCCAUUCGGACCUUCAUCAUGCCGGUUUCCGGUUUUGAUGAGGGAAAGUCUUGCGAACCUUAUCAUUUAGAGGAAGGAGAAGUCGUAACA